AGAGUUUGAUCAUGGCUCAGAACGAACGUUAGCGGCGCGCCUAACACAUGCAAGUCGCACGAGAAAGGGCUUCGGCCCCGGUACAGUGGCGCACGGGUGAGUAACACGUGGGUAAUGUUCCCUCAGGCGGGGGAUAACCUUCCGAAAGGAGGGCUAAUACCGCAUAAGACCACGGCUCCGAAAGGAGCUGAGGUAAAAGCAGGCCUCUACAUGUAAGCUUGCACCGGAGGAUCAGCCCGCGGCCCAUCAGCUAGUUGGUAGGGUAACAGCCUACCAAGGCUAAGACGGGUAGCUGGUCUGAGAGGAUGAUCAGCCACACUGGAACUGAGACACGGUCCAGACUCCUACGGGAGGCAGCAGUGGGGAAUCUUGCGCAAUGGACGAAAGUCUGACGCAGCGACGCCGCGUGGGUGAUGAAGGCCUUCGGGUUGUAAAGCCCUGUGGGGAGAGACGAAUAAGUCGGAGCCAAUACCUCCGGCGAUGACGGUAUCUCCUUAGCAAGCACCGGCUAACUCUGUGCCAGCAGCCGCGGUAAGACAGAGGGUGCAAACGUUGUUCGGAAUUACUGGGCGUAAAGCGUGUGUAGGCGGCAGUGCAAGUCGGAUGUGAAAUCCCCGGGCUCAACCCGGGAAGGGCACCCGAAACUGCACAGCUAGAGUACCGGAGAGGUUGGUGGAAUUCUCGGUGUAGAGGUGAAAUUCGUAGAUAUCGAGAGGAACACCUGCGGCGAAGGCGGCCAACUGGACGAGUACUGACGCUGAGACACGAAAGCGUGGGGAGCAAACAGGAUUAGAUACCCUAGUAGUCC
This 808-nucleotide ribosomal RNA is filed under the name uncultured bacterium. Its description in RNAcentral is "bacterial SSU rRNA". It matches the Rfam family "Bacterial small subunit ribosomal RNA", at positions 8 to 796 of the family's 1533-position model. The record is from RNAcentral.